Molecule: long non-coding RNA, 1694 nt
Organism: Tribolium castaneum (red flour beetle)
Lineage: Eukaryota; Metazoa; Arthropoda; Insecta; Coleoptera; Tenebrionidae
Exons: 3
Source: RefSeq, a predicted model, not a curated record
GGCAUUUGUUGCUUUCAUGCUUAUUGUUGUUGAAGUUCUUGUUUCAACAACCUGUGGAUUAAAUUACCUUCUUAUUAAAGAAAAAUUGCAAUAAUGGUACUAUAAAUGGUUGAUAAGAUUUUAUUUUGUGAUUUGUUACAAUAGUUUUAUAAUGCAAGUAUUGAAAUAUUGAUAAAAACAGCGAUUUGGAGGGAAAAUCGUUUUCUGGUGGUGUGGCAUCAGAUCAAGUUGUGAUGCCGGGACGGCUACCGCUAGCUCAUGCAUUAUUUCUUCCAACACAUAAUCGUGUCUUUAACUAUUAUCAUCAAGAAAUAAUCAAACUUUACUUUAGAUUAAAUGAAAUUGACAUCAAAUGUGACAGCAAUGACAGCUGUGUCAUUCUUAGUCGACAGUUUCCAAGGUAAUGGCAUGCUCAAAAUUUAUACUUUUUUAUUCUGCACUGCGGUGUAGAGUUUAGUUUAAUCCCAAAUAACUCGAGAACGGUACAUUUUGGCGAUAUGAAGCAAGAGUUCCUUUUUUAUUAAAAAAUAAUUGAGCUUUUGAUUUUUGGUAUCAAAAAUACCUGUUUAUAGGCCGAAAAAUUGAGUUAUCACCUAAAAACUGGAAGGGCCCCCUUGUCACCGGAAAUGUAUAGCUUUUACAAGAUUUCCAUUUACACCAUAUCAAAGAGCGUCUUUGUGUUUCUUGACAUGCAAAAUUUCAUAAUAAUCGCAUGAACGGUAACAAAAAUAUUUUCAAAAAACCAUUUUUCCAUACCAAUUUUUGAAAAAUUGUAAUUUUCCUAUUUUUUGUGGUGGGUCAGUAAAUAUUAUCCUAUUUAUUCUUAAUUGUAGAGGGGUAUUCGUGGUUAAAAUUAUGCCACAUAUUUUUGAAUCACCCGAUAUACUAUGGUUUACUAACUCGCUGGAACACAGUGAGCAUUUUUAUUUACCUGUAUAGAACAUCACUUAUCAACUCAUCAGUCAUCAUCAUCACUCAAUAGUUUUAAGAAGUUUCAUUUUAUGCAUAAAUAGCUAUGUGUAGGUUUUGUAUGCCGCCUGUAUCAGAACUCACUCCCCACCGGAAAUGUGCGUAUAGUUUAAGCAAUUCUGAAGCUAAAGUUCCUUUACAAAAAAUUCUAACUCAACUAACUAACUGCGUUUGGGAGAUAAAAACGUUUAAAAAUAUCCAAUCACAAAAGGCCUUGCUUUGGAGGACUAGGGGAACAAAACACGUUGCUAGGAAAACAAAAAAUAGGUAGAACGGACAAUAAAAGUAGACACUUGAAUUAUUUUUAAUUCCUUAGUUACGCAUCUACUAUAUGCACUACACCUGGAAGAGAGCUUCUGGGAUUGGUCAUUUUUAACCCUCUGUAUCUCACAAACUAAGAAUAAAAGACCUACUUUUUUUGCAUUUUUGCCAUCUCUAUUGCUGUUACCACUAGUAUUUUCCGGUGGGGAGUGAGUUCUGAUACACCCUGUAUGUCGUAGGCUAAUUGUAAAAUCAGGCGUAUUAUAACAAGCCUAGUCAUAUUGUAAACACCUGGGCAAAUUAAAAAUGGAUGAAUAAAUGCAGGAUUUUUACAAUGCGACUAAAAAUUUUAGGCGUAUUAUAAAACGCCUAACAAGUUUUCGUCUUAAUGUAAAAUGGUUUUUGAUAUUGUUCACUUAAAAAUGACUGAUACAUUUAGUCGUUUUGUCAAACAUUUUAUAAAA